RNAcentral lists this unclassified non-coding RNA (719 nucleotides) under uncultured Lactarius. RNAcentral's name for it is "sequence contains ITS1, 5.8S rRNA gene, ITS2". The stretch from base 229 to 382 matches the Rfam family "5.8S ribosomal RNA". Lineage: Eukaryota; Fungi; Basidiomycota; Agaricomycetes; Russulales; Russulaceae. The record is from RNAcentral.
GGAAGGAUCAUUAUCGUACAAAAUGUGAGGGGCAUGCGAGGGCUGUCGCUGACUCAAAGUCGUGCACGCCCGAGUGUGUCCUCUCACAUAAAUAAUCCAUCUCACCCUUUGUGCAUCACCGCGUGGGCACCCUUUGGGAUCAUCUCGGAGGGGGCUCGCGUUUUCACACAAACCCCCCUUUUAAAAGUGUAGAAUGACCUCAUUUAUGCGCUAACCCGCAAUCAAUACAACUUUCAACAACGGAUCUCUUGGCUCUCGCAUCGAUGAAGAACGCAGCGAAAUGCGAUACGUAAUGUGAAUUGCAGAAUUCAGUGAAUCAUCGAAUCUUUGAACGCACCUUGCGCCCCUUGGUAUUCCGAGGGGCACACCCGUUUGAGUGUCGUGAAAACCUCAACCUCCUUGGUUUCUUCUGGAGACCAAAGCAGGCUUGGACUUUGGAGGCCUUUGCUGGCACCUCUCUUUUGAAGGCCAGCUCCUCUUAAACAAAUUAGCAGGGUCCUCUUUGCCGAUCCUCGACGUGUGAUAAGAUGUUUCCAUGUCUUGGUUUCUGGCUCUGUCACUUUUGGGACCCGCUUCUAACCGUCUUGAGACCUUGCGUCGAGACAACGUUCGAGCAUGUCUCCCUUUUCUCGGGAAGCUCCCUCGACCCCACGAACCCUUGACCUCAAAUCGGGUGAGACUACCCGCUGAACUUAAGCAUAUCAAUAAGCGGAGGAAAA